Molecule: ribosomal RNA, 403 nt
Filed under: uncultured bacterium
Lineage: Bacteria
Description: bacterial SSU rRNA
Rfam family: Bacterial small subunit ribosomal RNA
Source: RNAcentral
UAGGGAAUAUUAGAAAUGGACGAAAGUCUGAUCUAGCAACACCCCGUGUGCGAAGAAGGCCUUUUGGUCGUAAAGCACUUUUUGGAAGGAAUAGGAAGGAAUGUACUUCCAGAAUAAGUCUCGGCUAACUACGUGCCAGCAGCCGCGGUAACACGUAGGAGGCAAACGUUAUCCGGAUUUACUGGGCGUAAAGCGCGUGUAGGUGGUACUGUAAGUAGGGCGUGAAAGCUCCUGGCUCAACUGGGAGAGGCCGUUCUAAACUACAGAACUAGAGGAUGGUAGAGGGAGGUGGAAUUCCAGGUGUAGCGGUGGAAUGCGCAGAUAUCUGGAGGAACACCGGUGGCGAAGACGGCCUCCUGGACCAUUCCUGACACUCAGACGCGAAAGCUAGGGUAGCAAACGG